This 1534-nucleotide unclassified non-coding RNA is filed under the name Penaeus japonicus. RNAcentral describes it as "programmed cell death protein 6-like, transcript variant X2". The record is from RNAcentral. Lineage: Eukaryota; Metazoa; Arthropoda; Malacostraca; Decapoda; Penaeidae.
AUUCUGAGGACACCGUUCCUUAUUGAUUUAUACCAAUAUUAUGUACAAGGAUUUUUCUAGGAUGGUUAUUUUGCGUGAUACAUGUACAGUUUCGCAUUAUUGGAAGGCAUGAGUCAUAAAUAUAUUUCUGUUUGUGGCAUCAUUUCCUAAACGUUGUCAGGGUCAUGUGUUAGUGAGUUGUAGGAGGAAGUCGGUGUGAUAAGGAUAUAUAGCGUGAACUUGCAAGAGUAAAGGUUUUUGGUGAUAAACAAGUGAAAUCUUCAAGAUGGCUGCAGGUAUGCCAGAUAGGAAUUUCCUCAUCACUGUCUUCCAACAGGUGGACAGAGAUCGCAGUGGCGCUAUUGAUGCCAGAGAAUUACAGUCUGCUCUUUCCAAUGGCAAUUUCACGCCAUUCAAUCCAGAAACAAUUAAGCUUAUGAUUGGAAUGUUUGACAAAAAAGGGACUGGCACAAUCAACUUUGAUGAGUUUGGAGCUGUCUGGAAGUAUGUAACAGAUUGGCAGCAGUGCUUUAGAUCAUUUGAUCGAGAUGGUUCGGGCAACAUUAGUAAAGAUGAGCUGAAAACUGCUAUUACAACAUUUGGAUACAGGUUUUCAGAAAAGUUCUAUGAUGUCCUGAUGAAACGUUUUGAUAGGAGUGGAAAAGGUGGAGUGUACUUUGAUGACUUCAUUCAGUGCUGUAUUGUCCUUCAUACGUUGACACCUGAAUUCCGUCAACAUGAUCAGGAGCAGAAAGGAACAGCAGUGUUGUCCUAUGAACAAUUUACGAUGAUCAUGGCAAAAAUUAUAUAAUCUGGAUUAUGGUUGAUUCCAAGAAAGCCCUGGUUGUCUCUUCUGCUACUGUUGAAAACUCUGACGCAAGCGUUUAGCCAAUAUGACCAGGAUCGCGAUGGUGUCAUCACGAUCUCAUAUGAACAGUUUCUCCAUAUGGUGUUUAGCAUCAGGACUUAAUACUGCAUAAUGUAAAUCCUUAGGAACACCAGUCUUUCCAUAUUGAUAAAUGAUUAACUUUACUUGUUAAUAAGAUGUGCUAAUGUAACCGAAAUGGACCUCAUUCAGAAAUUAAAUUUAUCCGUAAUGAGGUUUUUUAUUCCUUAUAUUUUUGUAAAUCAUAUGUGCCAGGAUGUGUAUUAUUACUGUUAUUCUUUGUUACUGAUCAACAACUAUGGGUGCCUUUUUACAUAACUGUUUUUUCCUGUUAUAUGUAGCAGCUCUUGUUGGAGUAUGGCCACUAUGCAUUAUAUCUUUUCACAUUGUAUUUUGAACAUUUCAAAAAGGUACAUUAUUAAAUGUCUUACUGUUCUAGCAUAAUUCAUUGGGUUGAUCAAAUCUUAGUGAUUUAAGGGAUGAAUGUUAUAUACAAAGCUUUCUACUAUGUAAUAUCAUGGAUCUUUAGAUAAGGAUAUAACUUUAUGUUAUGUAGUUUUAUUGAGAAUAGUUGGCUACAUUAUUAGACAACCUAUUUUAAAGAUUGUUUAAUAUCUGAAUUCACUUACCCAUGAAGUAUUUAAAGUAAUAAAAUAGUUCAAUACUCUU